RNAcentral lists this ribosomal RNA (495 nucleotides) under uncultured bacterium. Its description in RNAcentral is "partial 16S ribosomal RNA". It matches the Rfam family "Bacterial small subunit ribosomal RNA", at positions 30 to 507 of the family's 1533-position model. The record is from RNAcentral.
UGAACGCUGGCGGCGUGCCUAAUACAUGCAAGUCGAGCGAACAGACGCGGAGCUUGCUCCUCUGACGUUAGCGGCGGACGGGUGAGUAACACGUGGAUAACCUACCUAUAAGACUGGGAUAACUUCGGGAAACCGGAGCUAAUACCGGAUAAUAUAUUGAACCGCAUGGUUCACUAGUGAAAGACGGUUUUGCUGUCACUUAUAGAUGGAUCCGCGCCGCAUUAGCUAGUUGGUAAGGUAACGGCUUACCAAGGCAACGAUGCGUAGCCGACCUGAGAGGGUGAUCGGCCACACUGGAACUGAGACACGGUCCAGACUCCUACGGGAGGCAGCAGUAGGGAAUCUUCCGCAAUGGGCGAAAGCCUGACGGAGCAACGCCGCGUGAGUGAUGAAGGUCUUCGGAUCGUAAAACUCUGUUAUUAGGGAAGAACAAAUGUGUAAGUAACUAUGCACGUCUUGACGGUACCUAAUCAGAAAGCCACGGCUAACUACGUG